This 306-nucleotide ribosomal RNA is filed under the name uncultured Glomeromycotina. Its description in RNAcentral is "SSU rRNA". It matches the Rfam family "Eukaryotic small subunit ribosomal RNA", at positions 1426 to 1727 of the family's 1831-position model. Lineage: Eukaryota; Fungi; Glomeromycota. The record is from RNAcentral.
CUUCUNAGAGGGACUAUCGGUGUUUAACCGAUGRAAGUUUGAGGCAAUAACAGGUCUGNGAUGCCCUUAGAUGUUCUGGGCCGCACGCGCGCUACACUUGAUGAAGUCAUCGAGUUCAUUUNCUUCAUCGGAAGAUGUGGGUAAUUCUUUUGAAACUUUCAUCGGUGCUGGGGGAUAGAGCAUUGCAAUUAUUGCUCUUGAACGAGGAAUCCCUAGUAAGCACAAGUCAUCAGCUUGUGCUGAUUACGUCCCUGCCCUUUGUACACACCGCCCGUCGCUACUACCGAUUGAAUGGCUUANUGAGGC